CAAAUCGAACUAAAAACGACGAUUAUUUGGUGUACAAGGGUGGAUCGGCUUCUUUUGAAGCCAACUCUCAUGCAUUAGUAAGUUUAUAUUUUAAAUUCAUUUCAAUUUAAAUAUUUUAUGAAUUAUUUUAACUAGAUUUUUUCGUAUAGAGUCUCAAAUUAGGUCGAAAACCGUCAUUUCAAGAGGCAUUCUUGUCAACUCAUACGUCGUUAAAUGAUAGAGGAAAAACUAUGAUGGUGAGUGAUCAUUUAUUAAUUAUUCAUAAUAUAUUUAUUUUUUCUUAAUUAUUUCAUAUUUGAUUUUCGUAAAGGCCGAAUAUAAAAAUUUGAAUGAAAAACUUCGAAGACAAGAAGACAGUGAUUCUGAUUCUGAUGACGAUAGCGAAGAUGAAAAUUUAUCGUCUCAAGGUUCAACUACAUUUCAUACGAAGCCUCUGUUUAAAAACGAUCAUAUUGGACCUUGGCUGAAAGCAUCAAAGGGAAAGAAAAAUGGCCGCAUUCUGGGAUUUAGAGUUGGCAAUGACUCUAUGUUAUCAAAUAAGAGGAG
Molecule: long non-coding RNA, 546 nt
Filed under: Zostera marina
Lineage: Eukaryota; Viridiplantae; Streptophyta; Magnoliopsida; Alismatales; Zosteraceae
Description: long non-coding RNA (ZMAR_LNC000508)
Source: RNAcentral